Athene cunicularia (burrowing owl) is the source of this 467-nucleotide long non-coding RNA. RefSeq lists it as uncharacterized. The record is from RefSeq and is a predicted model, not a curated record. The transcript has 4 exons. NCBI's taxonomy places the organism in Eukaryota, Metazoa, Chordata, Aves, Strigiformes, Strigidae.
CCCGGGGCAUGCUGGGAGCUGCAGUCCUGGGCUGCCGGGUGGCCAUGUUGGCUCCCGGGAGGUGCAGCCUCUGCUCCAGCUGCGGCCCGGCUGAGGGUCGGAAUCAUUCUUUCUACCUUUCUGCUGGACUGUGGCCUCCAUGGUGUAUUGAUUAACAGAAAAAAGACUCUACAACUCAAAUAGAGUUAUAAAGCAGGAGAAAACACAUCUUGGGUGUCUCCCUUUGGAUUUGUCAGGGGUUGCUGCCUGCAAUGUGAUGACCCAAAACCAAAGCAGAGAAGAGAGCAGGAGAUGCCUGUCAGAAGGUCCGGGUGCAUGCUGGAGAUGAGUUUUCCCCAGCAGGAGUCUGGGGCUGCUACCCAGGAUUAGGCCUCCCUAAAGCAGAGCUGAGUAGGCUCCAGGACUUGCCUGGGAGGAAUCAUGUUUGGAUCGUGUAGGUGGGAGAUUUUCUCAGAAGGUGAAAAAUA